CACUGGCCGCGUUAGGGAUUGUAGUGGAAAGCCCACAGCGAGGGUUGGAAUUGCGAAUUGGGCAAGCGAGGACUUGGAACGGAAAGCCCGGCCGCAG
This 97-nucleotide unclassified non-coding RNA is filed under the name Mucilaginibacter gossypiicola. RNAcentral's name for it is "Flavo-1 RNA". Lineage: Bacteria; Pseudomonadati; Bacteroidota; Sphingobacteriia; Sphingobacteriales; Sphingobacteriaceae. The record is from RNAcentral.